AGCUUUAGAGACAUGGAUACGUCAAGUAGAUGAUCGAUUUCAAAUGAUUGUUGCGGUUACACUUGUUGAUUAAAUUCAAGGAGCAGUGAAAGCAUUGGCGAGAAUCAAAAGCAGAUGCGUCUUUACAUCCAAGAAGCUGUGUGUACGGAAAGCAUCACCGCAAUAACAUACGGAAGCGGCACAACGUCAUUUUAAGAAACCCAGCAAGCCGUAUCGGUGGGUUUCGCAUACCUUGUUCCUUUUCAUCAUACUAUAUGUUGUGGCUGUUUGUUUUAAUUCAUAUCCAUUUGAAAUCUGAAUUUUUUUUUGGAAGUUACUUUGAUUCUAGAAGUAAUUUGUAUGUUGGGUAGGUCCUUGACUUCGACUUCUAAGUUUGCUUAUUUCUGUUUGAAAGAUGGGACUGUUAAUUUUUUUUGAAGAAAAUGUGUAUAUGAUUGACAUGUUUAACAGUUAGAAAACGUGUCUGUUAUAACCUUUGCACUAUGUGGCCACUCUAAAUUCCAAUUGAAAUCUGUUUGAAAGAUGGGACUGUUAAUUUUUUUUGAAGAAAAUGUGUAUAUGAUUGACAUGUUUAACAGUUAGAAAACGUGUCUGUUAUAACCUUUGCACUAUGUGGCCACUCUAAAUUCCAAUUGAAUUUCGUGGCUUAUCCCAUGCAUUAGAUUUUCUAAUUGUAAACCACUGGGAUUCUGUUUCGACUACAAGUAGGAAAUCAUGAUUUGUGAAUGUGAUUAUCACCGUUUUGUGAUAGCUGGUGUUUACUAUUGUUAUAUUUUGAAUUUUACCCCUGAUUGUGCACUUCAACAUAUCGUCCAGUUUUGUGUUAAGAAUGGUGUGGUUGUAUUUGUUCAUUGUUAGACUUGUGAGUGUGGGUUUAUCAGUUUGUUUUAGGUCACAGCGAAUAAUUUCCUGCUGGCUGCUAUGCUGUUGUUGUUUAUUUCUAAUUUGGGUAACAAUUUAAUUUGGGUUUAUGUUGAUGUUAUACUGAUCGUUCUUUCAAUUCGAUUAUAUUGUUUUGUGUUUAAAGAUUGGGAUUAUCACAUUGAAAAUUUUGAGUGGAUUACUGGACAUUUAUUUUCAGCUAAGUGUACCUGUUGAAAUUCUUGUGGAUGUGAGCACCAUUACAGGUCGAUUAUUUGAUGUCCAGUAUUUACAGUUUACAGGUUAUUUGAUGUCCCGUAUUUACAGGUUAUAGAAUAUUACUUAGUUUUGUAAGUAGAUGGUGGGAUAUCAAGAAUAUUGUGCGUGCCUGGCUAAGCUAAAAGUUAAGAAAUUCAGAUCAUGGGCCUCUAAAUCAAUGUUAAUACCCAUUUUUGUUUUCUCUUUGAACUUAAUUAAUUGAUUAAAAUCUUUAAAUAGUUUAAUUUCUAUUAAUCAAUUUUAAUUAACUUAAUUAUUUAAUUUAAUUAAAUAAUUUUGAUAAUNAAAUUCAAGGAGCAGUGAAAGCAUUGGCGAGAAUCAAAAGCAGAUGCGUCUUUACAUCCAAGAAGCUGUGUGUACGGAAAGCAUCACCGCAAUAACAUACGGAAGCGGCACAACGUCAUUUUAAGAAACCCAGCAAGCCGUAUCGGUGGGUUUCGCAUACCUUGUUCCUUUUCAUCAUACUAUAUGUUGUGGCUGUUUGUUUUAAUUCAUAUCCAUUUGAAAUCUGAAUUUUUUUUUGGAAGUUACUUUGAUUCUAGAAGUAAUUUGUAUGUUGGGUAGGUCCUUGACUUCGACUUCUAAGUUUGCUUAUUUCUGUUUGAAAGAUGGGACUGUUAAUUUUUUUUGAAGAAAAUGUGUAUAUGAUUGACAUGUUUAACAGUUAGAAAACGUGUCUGUUAUAACCUUUGCACUAUGUGGCCACUCUAAAUUCCAAUUGAAUUUCGUGGCUUAUCCCAUGCAUUAGAUUUUCUAAUUGUAAACCACUGGGAUUCUGUUUCGACUACAAGUAGGAAAUCAUGAUUUGUGAAUGUGAUUAUCACCGUUUUGUGAUAGCUGGUGUUUACUAUUGUUAUAUUUUGAAUUUUACCCCUGAUUGUGCACUUCAACAUAUCGUCCAGUUUUGUGUUAAGAAUGGUGUGGUUGUAUUUGUUCAUUGUUAGACUUGUGAGUGUGGGUUUAUCAGUUUGUUUUAGGUCACAGCGAAUAAUUUCCUGCUGGCUGCUAUGCUGUUGUUGUUUAUUUCUAAUUUGGGUAACAAUU
This 2184-nucleotide long non-coding RNA is filed under the name Lathyrus oleraceus (garden pea). RNAcentral describes it as "Pisum sativum (pea) long non-coding RNA (PSAT_LNC032695)". The record is from RNAcentral. Lineage: Eukaryota; Viridiplantae; Streptophyta; Magnoliopsida; Fabales; Fabaceae.